RNAcentral lists this long non-coding RNA (385 nucleotides) under Medicago truncatula (barrel medic). RNAcentral's name for it is "long non-coding RNA (MTRU_LNC000301)". Lineage: Eukaryota; Viridiplantae; Streptophyta; Magnoliopsida; Fabales; Fabaceae. The record is from RNAcentral.
AAAAAAAGAGCAAUAAGUUUACGUGGGAACUCCCAAUUCAUACACCGAAGGCUGCCUUUAUAAUUAUGAUAUUCAUGUCCUAUAAUUUUUCAUGAAGAAUAUAUUUAGUUCUCUAUAUGUUUAUAUAUUGUUGUUUCAUGCUCCUUGUUCUUAAAAAAUAAAACGCCAUAAAUUUGAAAAUAAUUCAUAAAAAUUUUAAGUUUGGAGCUUCAAAUUUGAAAUUUUGGGAAAAAAAGAAUGAUUCCAAAUUUUUGUGGACAAAAAAAAAAUGGAAUGGUUAUUCAAGUAGUAGUGGUUAUUCACGUUCCAUUUUUUCUGUGCAAUGGCCUUUCCAAGUUUACAUUCAAGUAGUAGUGGAUAAUUAAUAUAGGAAAAUAGUGAAUUG